GGGCGGUUUCCAUAUUUUGAAAUAGGUUCCUGAUUUCCUCACUUCUCCUGAGAUGAAGUCUAUUGAUGAUGUGCCAAUGUGAAGCAUUGGAUUGAAGUUGCGGAUCAGGAAGCAUUUUUUAUCCCAGCAGUGGAUCGAGUACUUCUAAACACAGUUAAAGAGUAAGGCAUACAGAGGCUUUGAUUUUUUCAAGUAUAGUUCAGAUUUUCAGGGAGCACUUCAACCCAGACAUAAACAAAGCAAAGAACUUGAUUACAAGGUACAAUCGUAACUACCA
Molecule: long non-coding RNA, 277 nt
Organism: Triticum urartu
Lineage: Eukaryota; Viridiplantae; Streptophyta; Magnoliopsida; Poales; Poaceae
Source: RefSeq, a predicted model, not a curated record